Molecule: unclassified non-coding RNA, 3102 nt
Filed under: Hevea brasiliensis (rubber tree)
Lineage: Eukaryota; Viridiplantae; Streptophyta; Magnoliopsida; Malpighiales; Euphorbiaceae
Source: RNAcentral
UUUUUCCUUUUUUUUUUUUUGAAAAAAAUCCUGUAUUGGGUGUUCUUCAUGAAUUCAGAUUGGAUUGUCACCUAUAGCAAAACAUGUAAUGAGAUUACAGACUAUAGUGUAGCUCCUCUAGGUCUUGAUUAAUUCUUUAAUGAUCUGAUAUGUUAUUUGAGGAUGGAAUCAUGGAAGAUAUAGAGAACUCAAGUCUCUAUUCAGCACAGCGCCAUUCCUUGUCUUCACCAUCCAGGAAGAGAGAAUAUGGAAGAGAAUGACUUCCAAAAAUUGUAUGCGAGAGAUUGGAGAAUUUUUUUGUUUCUUUUCAUUUAAUUCUGACAGAAAUUUAAAUUUGAGAUCUCACAGUCUCUAAUACUACUACCAUUCAACACCAUCAACCUGGCACAUUGAAUAUUGUUAACUUAACAUGAAUGAAACCAUAGCAUUUGUUCAAUAUUCAACAACUAAGUAACUACAUAACCAUUAAAAUCCAACCACAUCAAUCUAUUCAUGCUUCUUUCCCUUGAGCUUUCGCUUGGGGAUCCAACUGAGGAGACCAGCAUCCAGCUUCCGAUAGUGACCUUGAAGCUGGUCAAAUACCUUGUACACGCAGUCAUCUACUUGAUCUUCAUAUCUCUCAUACAGGACUGGCAAAGUGUGAGCAGCAACAAAACCUUGUGAAGAACAAGUGAGCUUUCAGAAUCAGGACGUGCCGAAAAGAUCAUUAAUGGACUCUAUAUUCAGACUCAACGAAAUUAAUUUAUGCAUUUAUUUAAAAUUCAUUUUUAACUUUCUUCUUUACUUAGUUUUUUGUUGUUUUGUUUCCCCUUAGUAAAGAUCUAAUAAUGAUUCAAAAAUAUUUCCUCAUGUAUGUAAAAUUAUUAUACAUGGAUCACCUGCCAUAUUAAAUGGCAAAAAAAAGAGAGAGAAAAUAAUUAUUAACAUAUAAAAGCAAAAAGCUGUCAAUGAAAUCUGCAAUACUUGAACAUCAUAAUAGUUGGAACACUAACCAAUAUACAGAACAGUUAGAAAAUUGCACCAGCUCCCAAUGACAGCGGCAGCCCACAAGCUAGCUACAAUCUGAGAGAAUUCCACAUUGGAAUCAGUUGCUCCAUAUCAAGAGUCUGAACAAGUAAAAUCCAUCCAAUAUACCUAACAGCUCAAGCAAAGUGAAUAUGAAGCUGGACUUGUCAAGUGAAUAACAAAGACUAAAAGAGUAAAUAAGUUUCUGCCACUUGUACUAAUCAGGUGAUGAUAUUUAUUUUUUCAGUAAAAAAUUACUUUGUCUCCUUACACAUCAUAAAUUUAUAAAAUAAAGGAUAAAUAUUUUUCAAUUUUGUUUAAGUUUAAUGUUAAAAAUGUAUUAUGUCACAUUUUUAAAUUUUGCAUAAAUGCAUCCAUGACACUGAAAAAGAGAAAUACUACAUAAGGUUUGCCGCUCAAAGCAAUCAGAAGAUAUUCUUGCUUAUCUUUUCUUUUGAAUUUAGUUUUUCUUUUACUCACAUUCUAACUUGAUUUAAAAUAAAUUCAAACAGAUUAAUAUGUUUUAUAUUAUUCUCAGUAUAUGUAUAAUUUUGUAAUAACAGUAAAGACAGAACUUAUUCAACUCACCAUUAAUAAUGAAAGUUUAGGUUUACACAGAAAUUAUUAUGAUGAAAUUUUAUUCUGCUAUAUGCAGGUACGCAACUAGGUUUUACAAGUGUAAAAUGCAAUAAAUGUUCCUCAAGCAGCAACAAAACCUCAAACAAAUCCAAUUGUAUUCUUCAAAUUGUGAUUUUACAUAUUUGUUAUGAUUAACCCUAUAGUUUUUCCCAUCCUUCUACCCAGGGUAAAAAUUUUAACAAUGGUCAUUCAAUAUAGCACUUCAUUUCACGUGCAGUAACUGUGCAAUCUACUACUGAGUUGCUGACAAAUCAUCAAAAUUCAAUGACAUUUCAACAAGGCUACUAGAGAUACAUUCUAAUUGGAAACUUACCCAAAUCUGAUUUGGUACCUUGUAAAACUUAUUUUACAUAAGUUAAGACAAGCAAAGUGAACCAUUCAAAGCUAAAGCUGCUUUCUCUUACACUCUCACUCAAUUAGGGCAGUAGGCAGAUUUCUUACAAGUUGCCACAUCAAAUUUUUGGCAACUACUAAUUGAAAUAUGCCCCCAGGGACCUUAUUGAAACAAAAAUUACUUGGAUGAAGUUUAGUUACUGCAAGUACUGAAUUUAACUGUAGGUGAAACUAACCAUAUGACGCUUGGUGGGUACCUAGAUUUCAAUAAUAAAGAGAAACAAAUUCCAGCUGCAUUGAUGUACUUUCACGUAAAGUUCCAACUGAGAAUUGCCAAAUGAGAAAGAUAUGCUACUUUUAAUAAAAUUACCUAAAGCAUAUAACAAUCUGCCUGAAGGUGAUUAUUCAAUUUCUAGUUGCUUGAGAGAAAGUUCAGAACAGGAAUAUUCCCAAACAUUUUUCAGCAAUAUUGUUCAAGAUAUGUACCAACUGAACAAUGAUGCUUAUAUAAAUCUUGGAAUUUGCUCAGCUUAUAGCACAUAAACAACUACACCGAUUUUUUUUUUUCCAAUUUAAGAAUAUAAAAAGAAACUGCAGAACUCCUAUUAACCUGUUUCUAGAAGCGUUUAUUUUUUCAUUAGAAACAUCUCCCACAAUCAAUUGGCAUGUCAAGCACUUGCAAGUAACAUUUGUCUCUGAAAUAUAGGCAAAAUCCAUCUCUGCAUAGUUGUAAAGGUGAAUAUCCAUUGUGUCAGUGUUUAAAUAAUCAAGGGCAUCCACAGUGCACAAGGCUCCAUUUUAUUAAAAGGGUUUUCUAUCAAACACAGGCUUUUCCCUAAAUUUUUUUCACAAAAGGACUGUUCACAACUUAAGCCCAAGACCUUAUGGUCACAAAGGAUCAAGAAUAUGCUAGCAAAAUUCAGAUGGUUGUAGGAUCAAGAAGGCAAAUAAAUUCACAUUACACAGCAAAGAAAAUAUUAUCAAGAAAACUUCAACAGUUACAAACAUACCGCAAGAAAUUGUUUCAAAUUUCCUCCACUUGAUACAUCCUGAAGAAACUUCAAAGCAUGAUUAACCUCAAUUCCUAUUGAUCUCCCAACACUGACAAAUACCUCAUCAGGUAGU